GGCUGAAUAAAUAACCCUGAGUCCCUGCAGUGCGUGUGAGCAGCGUUCACCUCCAUAAUUGAAAUGCGUUCAGAGAGAACUUGAGUUUUACCUUCCUAAUUCAUUCUCUGGACUUUGGAUAAGCCCAAAUCACAGCAAGCUUCUGGCUGUGUACUAGUGCUGGACGAGUUCAUGUCCCAUCACGUGUGCACCAGGGCAAUCCUGGAGGCCUCUUUCUCCAUCAAGGCAUUCCACAGACACAGCAUGUCAAUCCAUCCUCUUUGCAGAAUUCCCAGGAGCGAUGUGCACGAGGUGAGUAAAGCUGGAGCUGAUGAGCUCAACCCCUCCCUUCUCUUCCCUGUUUUACACCUUUCCGCCAGCUCCAGCAGUGAAGCGGUUCUGACCUCAUCCUGCUCUCUGUUUUAGCAGCAUCCCAACUCUCUCAGCUGAGAUUCACUGGACCCCAUGGGGCUCUGCAGGGGCUUAAAACAUCCCCACCGCCUUCUGCCUCGGAUAGCAGGUAAUAAUUCACCCCCAAAUAACACCUUACUGAGCAAAGCUGAACGCAGUGCUCCCCAAAGAGGCGGCCCGU
Molecule: long non-coding RNA, 571 nt
Filed under: Numida meleagris (helmeted guineafowl)
Lineage: Eukaryota; Metazoa; Chordata; Aves; Galliformes; Numididae
Description: lncRNA (ENSNMEG00000012129.1)
Source: RNAcentral